UACAGAGGGUGCGAGCGUUAAUCGGAAUUACUGGGCGUAAAGCGUGCGUAGACGGUUAUAUAAGUUGGGUGUGAAAGCCCCGGGCUCAACCUGGGAAUUGCAUUCGAGACUGCAUAGCUAGGGUGCGGAAGAGGGAAGCGGAAUUUCCGGUGUAGCGGUGAAAUGCGUAGAUAUCGGAAGGAACAUCAGUGGCGAAAGCGGCUUCCUGGUCCAGCACCGACGUUCAGGCACGAAAGCGUGGGGAGCAAACAGG
RNAcentral lists this ribosomal RNA (253 nucleotides) under uncultured bacterium. RNAcentral's name for it is "partial 16S ribosomal RNA". It matches the Rfam family "Bacterial small subunit ribosomal RNA", at positions 524 to 776 of the family's 1533-position model. The record is from RNAcentral.